Cygnus olor (mute swan) is the source of this 3289-nucleotide long non-coding RNA. RefSeq lists it as uncharacterized. The transcript has 4 exons. Lineage: Eukaryota; Metazoa; Chordata; Aves; Anseriformes; Anatidae. The record is from RefSeq and is a predicted model, not a curated record.
UAAUUUUAAAAAUUGAAAGAGAUCAACACAGCCAAAACAGAAAACAAAAAGUAAUGUUCUAAAUAUUCUCAAAAGGGGAAAAAACAAUACAAAAUGAAUCUGAAGUCGGGCAGAUAAUUGGAUGUGUAGGGCUACGGUGUCACAGAACUACUUAACAUUUGGAAAAGAUUACGGUAAUACUAAUUCUGUAGGCAUACAGUAAAUGUAGAAAAUCUACUCCUGAUGGAUUUUUAAGCUAUGUUUUAGGAAGAAGCUACUUUUGUGGAAUGACAGGUGGUAAAAAAACUACAUCAUAACUUAGGGACAGAUCUAUAUAGUCACUGCACCAAGGAGCAAGUCAUUUGCAAGCAAAUCUCCAUUAUUCUUUGUUACCAUGAUCAUGAAAGAACAUGUGUUUACAUAGCUAUACGGUGGUCUUGCACAUUUGUGCCUCCUACGUUCUUCAGCAGGACAGGCAAUGAUGGCAAACAAGAUAGGUACAAAUUUAGUAUUACCUUGUCAUGAUACCUGCAAGACAGGCUGUGUCAGUACAAGUGAGAGUGAAGGAGAGUAGGUAAGGGUGGGGUGGUCCUGACCUUCACAUAGCUGCACUCAUCAUUUCUUAGAUAAAGUAAAAGAGGACUCCCAAAUUCACAGUGUAACUCUCAAUUUUUUCAACUAUAUUGCUCUCUGUAAGAGUCUAUUAUCAAAAAAUAUUUACCUGUUGUUAUAAUAUCCUGUAACCUGCCAACUUCCUGAGAAGAAAAACUGAAAACUGAAAACCUACAAGAUAUUCACUGAAUAGUUCCCAACCAUUAGAUAUAUUUUUCCUGGUCUUCUCUACCAGAGUUUUGUAUCAGAGACUGAUUUAUAAUUCAGACAGAAUUUUACAGAAAGAUUUUGUGCCAAAUUUCAUGCCAUUUCAGAUUACUUCCAAAAAUCUGAACCCUUCUUGCCCUUGUAUCACUCUGUUGUUGUGGGGAGACUUUUAAUAGUAUAAAACUGGAGCAGUGCAAUGUCUUAGUAUAAUUUUAAACCCAUGAGAGGUUAUAACAAGGGAAUUGUCUGCAGUAUCUUAGUACAAGAGCAACAGAAGAGUUCCAUGCACAACAAGGCAGCCAGAAAAAUAUAUUUAUUAACAAUAAAAGUAGCAUGAGAAUACAGAAGUUAAGGAACAGAUUACAUUGCUCAGAGACAGAGGUGAGGAGGAGAUCAAGUUGCACCCUCAGAAGUGCUGCAACACUCCCAGCUAGCUGGGAACAACUUUGCCCUCUCCAGUUCCCCAGCCAGCAUGUUUGCAGAGGAUCUGCCCUGCAUCUAAACAACACAGUCAAAAGGCCACUACUAUUAGCAUUUCAGUGCUCUUCUGUUUCAUUUUCUGGUGCCAUUACACAGCUUGCAUCUAGACCUUAACUGGUUUUGUCAAGAAAGUGAUACUUGAAAAAUGAAAAAUUUUUACUUGUCAUUUUGGAAAUACCCAUGUGUUAGAGGUGAAAAUAUUUCAAUACUUUUUUUUUUUUUUUUUCUUUUCUCAACUUAAUGUGGCAAAACAUAGCUGGGUCAUAAAGUAAAAACAACAUUAUGAAAAAACUCUGUUUUCACAGUUUGCUAAUGGCAUCCUGACCAUGGCAUUUUUCUGAUAUGGCAAGCUGUUUCUUUGAGAAAGAAAUAAUAGAAAGAUGAAAAAUUGAAGUGCCUACGUUGCAAGAAGGUCUUGGACCUGAUUUACUGAUAUUUUGGGAGCAUACCCUAAAUCCCCAGUCAACAAGCUGUUACAGGUUAUAUGGAUGGAUCUCCUUCACCCUCAAGAGAAAUCCAUGCAGAGAAUUUGAUGCAUGUUUGCAAUUGUUUUUGUUUCAAGACAUUGAUGCUUUUAAAGAAAAAAAAAAGUGGCAUCCAAAAUGUUAUUCAGAAAUUCCAAACAUUCCAUGCGAUUUUCAAAAUAGUUAAACACCCAAGUUUUACACAGAGGUCCAGAGGAAUCCAAUGAAAAUCAACAGAGGCCUGCAAAGCCUGCCCCUCCCAAGUUCCUGACGUUACUGGCAGAUAAAUCCAAGUGGCCUGAAUUUCAUCAGUACUGAGCACUAGCUUCUCCAAUACAAGGGAUACUUGGUUCUGCUGUGAACCCUGAUGUGAACUACAUCUUUCACUUAGAUUAGCGCUAACAUUGCUGCAGAACAAACUUUUUUUUUAAAUUUUGUAUUAUGUUCAAAUGUUGUUGAAAUAUCAAUGCGCUAAAUAAAUAAAUAAAGACCAUGCAGGCUCCAGCAUGCUUCGAUUUCUAACCCCAACUCUCAGCCUGAUCUCUUGUAUGAACCAUUUUUCCACUGGCAUUUUUUUUUUUCUCCAUGCUGCAGCUAAGUGUUUAUAAUAGAAACACAGAAGCUGUAGCUAUAGCAAAUCUGGGGGGCACUGCUGUAACUGAAACCUUCCAAAGCCAAAAGUUUUGGAAGAGCUUCUUGCACUUUUUGUUUUAAAGAACAUUUUUGUGCUUGUUUGUUCAAACUUGGUCUCUUCAGCGAAGGAAUGUUCUCUGGCUCCCUUUCAGCAUGUAUUAGUUCAGUGUCCCUUUAGCUUGAGGAGCUGAAUCAUCAGUUGCUCAUGUGUUCAUGCUUUAGUAGAAAGAUUUAUAGAACUUCUGCUGGGAGUUCUUCCAGAACAAAAGAUCAAGUCAUUCCUAUUACCACUGAAAUUCCCUGACAAGAAACACUGAAUUUUUUCUGUGCAAGCUCAUGGCUGUCUCCAGUACAGACACUGUCUGAUAUAGGCUUCAGAUCCAUGGCAUCAUCAUCACCAUUCUCUGAGGGUAAUUAGGCCUGACUAAGAACUCAGAUACAUUUCUUCUCCUUCUGCAAACAUCUGACCGCACCUGACACAUCGUGCGCAAGUUGGGUGAUAAUGUUUUUCUCCCGCCUGUUUGGGAAAAAAUGUACAGUUGAGUGAUGAGCAAUAGCUGCUUGUGGAUUGACACUUGAGGGACUAAACCAGAGUGGCCUAGAGCUCAAAGAGUGAACUAAGUACCAGAAAGAAGACUCAAGAUUUCUGAUGACUCUCUCACAAGUGAAGCAUAAGUACAUACCAUCUCACUGCAUUAUUGACUUAGUAAAGUUGUCUGUAAAGGAAAGACAGAAAGUAGACAAAAUCUUUUAAUGUGUUAAAUAAUUAAACUUGUAACUACUUGGUUGCUGUCCUUAUAAUGAAUUUUUUCAGUGAAAUUCCUCCUUUAAAACAACAACAACAAAAUAUAUCUCAUUAUCAAAAUUCACAAUAGUAGCUGACCUCUUUUACUACUGGGAGUAAUGAGCUCAUG